UCCCAGCAGGACUGAGCCUCAAUUGCCCACAGCAGGAAGCAGCUCAAUCAUGUACCCUUUAAUUGGCUCUCUCUGGAUCUGGGAUGCACUCCUGCUCCCUGGGAUCACUCCUCAAAAUAAACCAUCCGCUUGCUGUGGCAACCGGAAAGGCAAAGCCCCUGCUUUAAAGGAACGAGAGAUUUAAAUCUAGAGCUAGAGAGCGGCUCUAGACAACGGACAGCUGAAAAGAACAAACACAAUAAUAACAUCAUUUUGAUAGUUAGCAGGGCCUUGGAAAAAUUAAACGUGGUCAAGUGGUAGAGCAUGACGGGUAAAAUUGCAUUUAGUGGUUCACAGGUCUCAACAUACAACAGAACCACUUGGAGGGCUUGAAAACACAGAGGCACCUGGGCCCCACACCAGAUUUCCUUAAUUAGCGGACCUGAGUGGGGGCCUCAGAAGCUACUUGUUAGUCUCAGGUGAUGCCGAUGCUGGUGGUCUGGGGACUACGAAUUGAAAACCACUAGAUUAUUUAGAGCUGAAGCAUGAAAAGGAGCCAAGAGUACAAGGAACACAGAGAAGAGAAUCCAGGCAAAGACAUGAUAAACAGAACAAAGAUUUUAGAAGGAGAAGGAUUCGACUGGCUCAGCCUUAAGUGCAGCGAGGAAUACCUCAUCAUCUGAUGCUCAGCAAAAUUACUCAUGGGGAGAAAUACCAGUUCUACAAAAGCACCAAGGAGAAAAAGAGUGUCAUUGAACUUGUUCCUCUCUUCCUGUGUUUUUUAUAAACCAAGAUUUGGAACGAAUGCCUGGAUGAGCUGUGGGUUAAAAGGUUUCAGCAAUCACAUUCCAGAGCUGCAUGGAUGCGAAGCCGUUGGGUGGUAAAACUCCACAUUGCUGCAUCUGAUGACAAAGGUGCGUGUUAACUCCAGCUGCUGCACCGGGAUAGUCAACUGGGAGACAAGCUUGGAGGUGCAGUAGCAAACGGGAGAACACAGGAGAAAACCCACACGGAAGGAAGAAAACACAGAAGCAUCCUAGAUCACUACCCAGAUCAUUGAACCAUGACAUCAACAUCGCUCAUCUACUUUUGGACUUAUCACGUGGGCAGAAGAGACUUUAUUGUCCAAGGGUGCAGUGCCCAUGGCCUCUAAACCAGAUAUAUUCUGUCAAAGACUCUUUUUAGAUUAGAACUUAGAAAAUCAUAACAUACAUUUUGGGCUCUUUCAGAUUUUAUUUUACUCAAAUCCCAAGCACUUUCCUUUUGAUAUGAAAAUAUUGUGUUUCCGUCAUUGUAAGAGAAUUCAGUGACCAUGCAUAAUGGAAAAAGUGGGUCAGCUGGUUGCGUUUCAUAAAGCAAUAGCACCUCCAAGGCUUCAAAAUGUUUGCUUUAUAAACUAACCCUCAGCCUGUCACUUACAAUUUCCGUUUUCAUUAUAAAUAAGCAGCAAAAUGUGCAGACUGUCUGUUUUGCAGUAAAACACAGCUGUUUCCAUUUGCUCUCCCAUCAGUUUCAUUUUCACAUCAUUCUGCAGUGGAAUUGAAUUGAAUCAUUUCAUCUCUGGGACAAGGAGUAUUCUGCAGCUCAGUAGCAGGCGGCCCCUAAUCCUUAAUUUCACUUCCUUCUGUGUUUCCCAAUAGCCUAGAAUUGGGACUUCAGUUUCCAACUGUGGCAUUUGUAAUAUGGAAUUUGGUGGCCUUGGAUACAAAUAAACACCUGACCCCACCUUACUCCUGCAGAAAAUUAGAAAAAUCUUUCUUAAACUCUGAGUAUCAAAAUGUAGUAAGAUUUUUUCAAUUCCAGGGAAUUUUAGAAAGAAGUGUGAGUUUCCAUGACUAGGAAAGAAUGUGGCUUGUAGUGUAUUUCAUAAAGCAGGAAAGAUAAAGAUGAAGUGUGAAUUGUGUUUCUAUCACAAUAAGAGAAGACCUGGUUAUUAAUACUUAACAAUAACUGUCACGUUCAUAGUGUACAUUUUUCAAAUAUUGAGAACACACAAUAUCAUUUAACUUUUUCAACUAUAUUGAUUAUUAUUAACAUUUUAUUAUGAAUAAUGAAAGUGAAGAUUAUAAAUAUUAGCUCAAAGUAACAGGGUCUGGAGCAUAGAACAUGCGUUUUUGAAAGAAUAAAAAAUAGAGGCAUCAAUUAAUAAGUUUUGGAGCUAGAAUUCCAAUCCAUGUACAGUGAGUGCUCCUUUGCCAAAGAGCGCAGUUUCUUACCCCAUGUUUACAUCUCUAAUUUUUAGAGUUAGGCUCUGCUCUAUAAAAGUUGGUUAUGCUGUGUGAGCUCUUGUCUACCUCCUGUGCUAUUCCUUUGCUCUGUGUCGGUGUUCACACUCACAGUGUGAAUUGCUCUAGCAUUCUCAGGUGAAGUCCCACCGACAUGUGUGGAUCCUGUCACUUACUCAUGGAUUACUCAUGGAUGUCCUUGAUCUUACACUUGGCAGAAGGCCCCUAAGGGACAUGAAUUCUCAGAGGUUGGCAGAUAGUUGCAGCGCAAGGCCGUGUGACAUGAAUCCCACUCCCAGGAAAACUGAUAAUUGUGUGAGAGCUCUGGGAACAGUAGGAUUCCCCUGGUUUACAAAUUGGACAGAUGGCUAUGGAGGAUUUUGAUUUUAUUACCUCUUGGGAUUAUUAAAU
This 2615-nucleotide long non-coding RNA is filed under the name Equus caballus (horse). RNAcentral describes it as "lncRNA (ENSECAG00000053164.1)". Lineage: Eukaryota; Metazoa; Chordata; Mammalia; Perissodactyla; Equidae. The record is from RNAcentral.